This 253-nucleotide ribosomal RNA is filed under the name uncultured bacterium. RNAcentral's name for it is "partial 16S ribosomal RNA". It matches the Rfam family "Bacterial small subunit ribosomal RNA", at positions 524 to 776 of the family's 1533-position model. The record is from RNAcentral.
UACGGAGGGUGCAAGCGUUGUCCGGAAUUAUUGGGCGUAAAGAGCUCGUAGGCGGUUUGUCGCGUCUGCUGUGAAAACUCGGGGCUUAACCCCGGGCCUGCAGUGGGUACGGGCAGACUAGAGUGCCGGAGGGGAGAGUGGAAUUCCUGGUGUAGCGGUGAAAUGCGUAGAUAUCAGGAGGAAUACCGGUGGCGAAAGCGACUCUCUGGACGGCAACUGACGCUGAGGCACGAAAGCGUGGGGAGCAAACAGG